GAUGAACGCUAGCUACAGGCUUAACACAUGCAAGUCGAGGGGUAACGAGAGGAAAGCUUGCUUUCCUUGUCGACGACCGGCGCACGGGUGAGUAACGCGUAUCCAACCUGCCCCCAACCAGGGAAUAACCUUGCGAAAGGAACACUAAUACCCUAUAAUUUCCUCAGAUGUCAUCUGACGAGGAAUAAAGAUUUAUCGGUUGUGGAUGGGGAGGCGUCUGAUUAGCUUGUUGGAGGGGUAACGGCCCACCAAGGCAACGAUCAGUAGGGGUUCUGAGAGGAAGGUCCCCCACAUUGGAACUGAGACACGGUCCAAACUCCUACGGGAGGCAGCAGUGAGGAAUAUUGGUCAAUGGGCGGAAGCCUGAACCAGCCAAGUAGCGUGCAGGAUGACGGCCCUAUGGGUUGUAAACUGCUUUUAUACAGGAAUAAAGUUAGCCACGUGUGGUUAUUUGUAGGUACUGUAUGAAUAAGGACCGGCUAAUUCCGUGCCAGCAGCCGCGGUAA
Molecule: ribosomal RNA, 506 nt
Filed under: uncultured bacterium
Lineage: Bacteria
Description: partial 16S ribosomal RNA
Rfam family: Bacterial small subunit ribosomal RNA
Source: RNAcentral